RNAcentral lists this long non-coding RNA (225 nucleotides) under Brassica napus (rape). RNAcentral describes it as "long non-coding RNA (BNAP_LNC015370)". Lineage: Eukaryota; Viridiplantae; Streptophyta; Magnoliopsida; Brassicales; Brassicaceae. The record is from RNAcentral.
AAAAAAAAGGGGGCUAGCAAAGUUGUUUAGAGCUAAGAUUUGUUUAGAAGUUGAGAAAAUCCUUUAUAUAUUUCAAAGAAAAAGAGUUUUAUGUGCAAAGUGUUCUUGGGAUCUUUUGGUGAGAGAUGGGAGUUGGGUUUGACAUUAUGAAGUGAUUGUGUAACUUGUAUGUUUGAGAAAAGGGUAGAACAAUGGAGAUUGAGCAUUGUAUGCAUGAGUUGGUCC